This 539-nucleotide ribosomal RNA is filed under the name uncultured bacterium. RNAcentral's name for it is "bacterial SSU rRNA". It matches the Rfam family "Bacterial small subunit ribosomal RNA", at positions 338 to 870 of the family's 1533-position model. The record is from RNAcentral.
CCUACGGGAGGCAGCAGUGCGGAAUUUUGGACAAUGGUCGCAAGUCUGAUCCAGCCAUUCCGCGUGCAGGAUGAAGGCCCUCGGGUAGUAAACUGCUUUUGUACGGAACGAAAAGGUUUCCAUUAAUACUGGGAGCUCAUGACGGUACGGUAAGAAUAAGCACCGGCUAACUACGUGCCAGCAGCCGCGGUAAUACGUAGGGUGCAUGCGUUAAUGGGAAUUACUGGGCGUAAAGCGUGCGCAGGCGGUUAUGUAAGACAGAGGUGAAAUGCCCGGGCUCAACCUGGGAACUGCCUUUGUGACUGCAUAGCUAGAGUACGCUAGAGGGGGAUGGAAUUGCGCGUGUAGCAGUGAAAUGCGUAGAUAUGCGGAGGAACACGGAUGGCGAAGGCAAUCCCCUGGACCUGUACUGACGCUCAUGCACGAAAGCGAGGGGAGCAAACAGGAUUAGAUACCCUGGUAGUCCACGCCCUAAACGAUGUCAACUGGUUGUUGGGUCUUCACUGACUCAGUAACGAAGCUAACGCGUGAAGUUGACC